This is a non-coding RNA of Cordylochernes scorpioides, 73 nucleotides long. Lineage: Eukaryota; Metazoa; Arthropoda; Arachnida; Pseudoscorpiones; Chernetidae. The record is from the annotation of a GenBank genome assembly.
UCCAGGGUAGCCUAGUGGACAUUUCACCUGCCCGGUAAGCAGAAGGUUGUGGGUUCGAUUCCCGCCCCUGGAC